This 313-nucleotide unclassified non-coding RNA is filed under the name Styrax lanceolatus. RNAcentral describes it as "trnL-trnF intergenic spacer". The record is from RNAcentral. Lineage: Eukaryota; Viridiplantae; Streptophyta; Magnoliopsida; Ericales; Styracaceae.
AAAGCCCAUUUGGCUCCUUAAAUAUUUAUCCUAUCCUUUCCUUUUUUCGUUAGCAGUUCACAAUUCGUUAUCUUUCUCGUUCACUCUACUCUUUCUUUCACAAAUGGAUCUGAGCGGAAAUGUUUUUCUCUUAUCACAAGUCUUGUGAUAUGUCUUGUGAUAUGUGAUAUAUAAUACACGUACAAAUGAAUAUCUUUGAGCAAAGAAUCUCCAUUUGAAUGAUUCAUGUCCAUAUCAUUGUAAUACCCUUUCGUUCUUUUAAUUGACAUAGACCCAAGUCAUCUAGUAAAAUGAGGAUGAUGCAUCGGGAAUG